RNAcentral lists this ribosomal RNA (421 nucleotides) under uncultured bacterium. RNAcentral describes it as "bacterial SSU rRNA". It matches the Rfam family "Bacterial small subunit ribosomal RNA", at positions 355 to 774 of the family's 1533-position model. The record is from RNAcentral.
UAAGGAAUAUUGGUCAAUGGACGCAAGUCUGAACCAGCCAUGCCGCGUGAAGGAUGAAGGUCCUCUGGAUUGUAAACUUCUUUUAUCUGGGACGAAAUCGGGAUUUUUAUCUCAAUUGACGGUACCAGAGGAAUAAGCACCGGCUAACUCCGUGCCAGCAGCCGCGGUAAUACGGAGGGUGCGAGCGUUAUCCGGAUUUACUGGGUUUAAAGGGUGCGUAGGUGGGCUUAUAAGUCAGUGGUGAAAUCUCCGAGCUUAACUUGGAAACUGCCGUUGAUACUAUAGGUCUUGAAUUAUCUGGAGGUAAGCGGAAUAUGUCAUGUAGCGGUGAAAUGCUUAGAUAUGACAUAGAACACCAAUUGCGAAGGCAGCUUACUACAUAUAAAUUGACGCUGAGGCACGAAAGCGUGGGGAUCAAACA